AUAUUACUGGUAGUAUGUGUGAGAUACUGUAUGCUAAAUAAAGACCAGAAAGUUAGAAAUAUGACAUGCUAGUGAAUAAGAAUACUUCAAGUUAUCUUUAUUAACAUGUACAGUACAUAAUUCAAAAAUAUUUAUAACUGUUUCAACUGUUAGCACAGACAUGAUACUGUAAUUCCUUUCAAUGUGUGAAAGCUUUCAAAAAUUCAAUAUAGUUGCUUACAAAUUAUCCAUCCUUGUAUAUUGAUUAAGCCAACACUAGUAGACUGCGAAAUUAAGAGAUUAGACAAGCCUCCUGACACUGAGCGGUAGGUCUAUGUAAACUUUCGUUUUAGCUGUUAUCUUUAUUUUACGUCGCCUGAGCAAAAUCCAUUCGAUAUCACUUAAUUAAAUCUUAUACAAGAAGUAUUUUAACAUAUGUCAACAGAAAGAAAUUGACCAGUUUGCCUUUGCCAAUCUGUUAAUUCGAACGUGAUUUUCUCAUUGAAGGUUUGUUUCGCACAUUGACCAGUCCCCAUCGAUUGUUUCCGCAAUAAUCCACAACAGUUUUCUAGUUCACAAGAUGAAAAAUUCGCCCUAACAGAUUUUGCAAUUCACUCCUAAUCGCCGCCAUCUUGAAUUUUUUCUAUGCUCAUGGGCAAGACCGCUGAACUUCAUGAUCGGCAGUUUGGCCGAUUUCGCAACAUUUU
RNAcentral lists this long non-coding RNA (686 nucleotides) under Paramuricea clavata. Lineage: Eukaryota; Metazoa; Cnidaria; Anthozoa; Malacalcyonacea; Plexauridae. The record is from RNAcentral.